Molecule: long non-coding RNA, 1643 nt
Organism: Eptatretus burgeri (inshore hagfish)
Lineage: Eukaryota; Metazoa; Chordata; Myxini; Myxiniformes; Myxinidae
Source: Ensembl
CAAUCUCAUGUUGCCUGUCUUGUAGGCAAUACUAAUGGCAUCGUAUAAUCUUUUGGUUUGAUUUAUGUUACAGGAUCACACAUGCUGAUUCCAGGGAUACUUUUUUAACCACCAGGUCCUUUUAUUCCAGGCACUCAAGAUAGCAUGGCGCAGCCACAUUCACUGAGUGAACUUGAGCAAGGGCAAAGUCUCCAUUCUGGGGAAUAUUGUUUUGUCAAGGGUAUAGACAUUGCACCUUCUGAGCCCUUCACAUGUGCAUCGGGCUCGUUGAACUUUCAGUCAGAGGAUGCUCACGAACCUGCACAAGUGAAUGAGUGUGUGGAGGACAAAACCAAAUCACUUAGCAAGGUACAACCCAAGUUGGCUUUGUUUUUUUUAUUUUUUUUUUUUCAAUCAGCUCAAUAUAAACAUAAUGAAUAAUUCGCUUUUGUUUGUUCGUUUUGUGCUGCAGAAAGAAAAGAAACGAUUGAAGAAAGAAAGACAAUUGCUUGAAAUGAAGAAACAGAAAGAGUCUCCAAGGGAUGCAGAUUCGUGCAGCAGUUACAGUACACCUUUGCCAGUUGUGGCAAGUGGAAUUGAAGGUGCUGGUGAUGGAAAAGAAGACUCUUUGGUUUUAAAAAAGGAAGGAGAAAGCUUAGAGUCUCAGUUCAGUGUUUUGGGAGAUGCGGAGACUCAACCUGUUGAACCCCCCACAGUUUCCCAGAGGUCAAUGGACUUCACAUCCAAAGUUCCGGAAGAGGUGCUGGAGGACAAAGUUGAUGAAAUGACGGAACUCAGCAAGAAAAAACAGAAACAGGAGACCUGGAAAAAAAACAACAAGGAAAGAAUACGCAAAAGAAAACAAAAGGCUGAGAAUGGAGGGCAUUCAUCUGAUUGUCUCAUGACUUCACCUGCACUCAACAAGUGUGGGACAGACACAGGGAAGGGAGGAGAUAAAUUCAAGAAAGGACAAAAUAACAAUACCUCUGGAGGAUUUCCCACUGAAGGAAAACCAAAUGAUGCAGUGUUUAAACAGUGCGAAGGGCAAAGCUCACUUGGAGAAACGAAGACUGAGGUUUCUUCGAAUUGUCAAACCAAGGCUGGAGGACCUUCUGAGAAUAUCCCUGAGAGUAAACAAAGACAAACAAAACCUAACAAAUCGAAACCUGCAGACCCUGCAAGGUGUGUUUGCUAUUUUCUCUUCCAAAAAGUAUCACUGUGUGCUGGAAGCGGAUCGUUCCCAAUUUAUUUUGUGAGAUCGUUUCAACAUGCAAUGUACUUUGUGCACUUUUCUCAUAGCAUUGCAGCUGGGCUGAACAAGGGCAAGGCAGAGGAGAAGAGUGAUGACCACAAAACUUUAUCUUCAUCAGACAAGUCUACCAAAGGUGGAACUUGUUCCCAUGGGGCAUUAUACAGAUUAAAACGUUUGUUUAAGAUACUAACAAAAUGCAAGCUGUGCAAUGUGAUUAAAACUUUGAUAAAGAGGGUUUUAUAUCACAACUUUUGACUUUUUCUUUAGUGUACAAAGUCAAGACUCGUGGCAGAGCUAAAACACAGAAUGGACCAGGACGCAACAGAAUAAUACAAACAGCAGAAAAAUAAUGGGUGGUAGUGGAGAGGGGGUUGUAUACACCAACAGCAGGGAUGAGGGAUGAAAAAAGAGG